Hyla sarda is the source of this 2914-nucleotide RNA transcript. It is a transcript of the gene named glycosyltransferase like domain containing 1, with no coding region annotated. The transcript is spliced from 12 exons. Lineage: Eukaryota; Metazoa; Chordata; Amphibia; Anura; Hylidae. The record is from RefSeq and is a predicted model, not a curated record.
GGUUGUCAUAGAGUGCGGGGCCCUUUCAUAAUAAUGUUGUCUGUUUGGGGAAAGUCGUGCUGGGACUUGUGGUUGCACUGAAGCUGAGCUUGUCUGUCACACAGUGUUUAUAGAGAGGAUCAGCUUGCUGGCAUUGAAUUGGAUGAUGAAGCAAAGAGAACUACCUUUCAUUCACAUACGUAUGACCGCAGUGAGGAGGAGUAGGGGGCCCCAGGACCCUUGUUCUAGGCAUCCUGUGGACAGGGCGUAGGUGUCAAUUGUGGACUAACCCCUAACGGUCUAUCAUGAAAUAUCACUGAGAAGACGGGACAGCGGUAGGAAUGAGCGUCCUCCUGAUCGAGGCGUUUUAUGGGGGGUCACACAAGCAGCUGAUGGACCUGCUGAGAGGAGAGAUGGAGGGCUGCGUCCUCUAUAGUCUCCCGGCCAAGAAGUGGCACUGGAGGGCCCGCACCGCCGCGCUCCACUUCAUGCAGGCUGUUCCACCCAGUGACUCUUACAGGGUUCUCUUCACCAGCUCGGUGCUUAACCUGGCUGAGCUCAUCGCUCUUAGACCCGAUCUCGGGAAGCUGAAAAAGGUCUUGUAUUUCCAUGAAAACCAAUUGAUUUAUCCCGUACGAAAAAAUCAAGAUAGAGAUUUCCAGUAUGGUUACAACCAAAUCCUUUCAUGCUUAGUCGCGGACGUUGUGGUGUUUAACUCCACCUUCAACAUGGAGUCUUUCCUAACCUCCAUCAGCAAGUUCCUGAAGUUGAUUCCAGAUCACCGACCUAAGAAUCUCGAAGAAAUCAUCAGGCCUAAAUGCCGGGUCAUUCAUUUCCCAAUCAGAUUCCCUGAUGUCAGCCGGUUCCUUCCAGAACACAAGAAGGCUCAACAGAAGAUCUCCAUGGAGUCUUUGGGCCACCACACAAAAAUAAAUGACCAGUCUCAAAGUGAGAACGUUGCCCCAGCUCUUUCUGGUCAAGUAGAGGAACCCAUGACCCAACUCUUGCCGGAAUCUAUCGAUAUCAUAAACUCCACUCGAGAAAGUAGUUCUGAAGAUGACGGCCAAGUGAUCUCAGAACCGUCCUCCUCCAACUUCAUCACCGAUUCCCAGAGGCCCCUUCAUAUUGUCUGGCCUCACAGAUGGGAACACGAUAAAGAUCCAGAGACUUUCUUCAAAAUUAUGAUGAAACUAAAAGACCAGGGGCUGCCCUUCCGCCUGUUGGUGCUCGGAGAGACGUUUACUGACGUGCCAGAAAUCUUUUCCGAGGCCAGAAUAUCCUUGGGGUCAGCAGUUUUGCACUGGGGUUUCUUGCCCAGUAAAGACGAGUAUUUCCAAGCGCUCUGCACAGCUGAUGUUGUCAUCUCCACGGCUAAACAUGAAUUCUUUGGCGUGGCAAUGUUAGAAGCUGUGCACUGCGGCUGUUAUCCUCUGUGUCCCAAAGCUUUGGUGUACCCAGAGAUCUUCCCAGCGGAAUAUCUGUAUUCGACACCUGAACAGCUUCUGAAAAAAUUGCUACAUUUCUGCAAAAGGCCCGAUAUUGUCAGGAGGCACCGGUUUCAGAUGUCUUCUAAUUACGCUCACUGUAGCGUUGAUAUCCAUUUAAAAGAAAUCGGAGACUUUCAGGAAGAUCACCUGAUUCGGCGAUAGACAACCUUUGUGUCUAUAAGUCCCAGCAUGUCUUCUUGAGGCGUAGGAAGGUCACCUUAGAAGGUUACUCCAAAACUUACAAUUAUAUGUAUAUCUAUAUUUGCCAGUCAGCCACAACAUUAAAACCACUGUGAGGUGACGUGAAAAAACCUGGAUUAUCUUGGUGACAAUGGCUCCUGUCUGAGGAGUGGGAUAUAUCCGGCAGGCGAGACGGCUCCGUAUUCCUGGGCAUCUCUGAGCGGUGAAUUCAGGUCUCUCCUAACAGCAGAACCCAGGGAAGAUCUGUGACAGAUGGGGCCAAGUCACAAAACUUGCAGCCUUAGGCAGAAUUUGUCGAAACUUUCCAGAGUGUGCCCAUAUUUACCUGAUCAGAGGGAAAGGAGGAAGGAAAAAAGAACAGAAUCUGCUGAGGAAGCCGAGCCUGGCUCCUUGUCAUAGCUGACACAAAACCAUCUGCCACAAACAUGUGGCAUCUCCGGAGCCACCACUACUACCACCACCAUCUUCAUCAUCAUCGUUGCCAUCAUCCGCAUAUAUAAUGCAGGAACGUUCGGAUACUUGCUCGUCUUCAGCUUCACAUGCUGGAGAGAAGUGAAGAAAAAAAAAAUCUGUGGCCUGUUGUAUAACGGCGCUCAUGUAUCCCAUAUGUGGUGCCACAUCGAAUUUCCGGAUAAAUCUCUUUUUAUCCUUUGUACUGGAUGACAUGGUGCCUGAAUUCUUUCUCUUUUUUUUUUUUUUCCGCCGACUCGAUGGCAGCCAAAGCUACAGCUUCAAACAUUCACACUUGGCUGGAUUUCUACCUAUGUUGCCAGGUUAUCGUCGGAGCCUUAUUGUGUCCUCAAAGGGCCACAGGGUCUAAAAGGAGGAUCAGAGUGUGACUAGGCUAAAUGGGGCAGCCAUCCAUGAAUUGUUUUGCAGCUGAAGAGGCUGUUGUGGUAAUUUUUUUUUAUUUUGUUUUUAUUUUUUUUGGGAGGGGGGAAUUAAUGGCUCCCUGGCCUGGCACGGAGGUUUUUUAAGUGAAGGUAUUAAUGAGAGGUCUGGCAGGUAUUCCCAGGAUUCACCCAGUUACAUUUGCAUUUAAUUAAUCUUAAAGAAGGCUGAAAGAUAAACAGCUGUAAUUCAUAGUAACAUGGGAAAUCUGCUGUGCGGGGCCAUCUAUCCGAUAAACUCGCCACUCAGACACUUGUUUUGGAGUGAAUAGAUAAAAGGGGGGGGGGGGACGGGCGACUUUAUGUUUAUUUUUCUAACACUUUCAGGAUAAGCAGAAUUUUUGCCAUUUAUUUAUC